CCUAAAUACUAAUACCAGAUCGAUAGUGCACAAGUACCGUGAGGGAAAGGUGAAAAGAACUGAGGUGAUCAGAGUGAAAUAGAACCUGAAACCAUUUGCUUACAAUCAUUCAGAGCCCUAUGUAGCAAUACAGGGUGAUGGACUGCCUUUUGCAUAAUGAGCCUGCGAGUUGUGGUGUCUGGCAAGGUUAAGCAAACGCGAAGCCGUAGCGAAAGCGAGUCUGAAUAGGGCGCUUAGUCAGAUGCUGCAGACCCGAAACGAAGUGAUCUAUCCAUGAGCAAGUUGAAGCUAGUGUAAGAACUAGUGGAGGACUGAACCCAUAGGCGUUGAAAAGCCCCGGGAUGACUUGUGGAUAGGGGUGAAAGGCCAAUCAAACUUCGUGAUAGCUGGUUCUCUCCGAAAUAUAUUUAGGUAUAGCGUUGUGUCGUAAUAUAAGGGGGUAGAGCACUGAAUGGGCUAGGGCAUACACCAAUGUACCAAACCCUAUCAAACUCCGAAUACCUUAUAUGUAAUCACAGCAGUCAGGCGGCGAGUGAUAAAAUCCGUCGUCAAGAGGGAAACAACCCAGACUACCAGCUAAGGUCCCUAAAUCUUACUUAAGUGGAAAACGAUGUGAAGUUACUUAAACAACCAGGAGGUUGGCUUAGAAGCAGCCAUCCUUUAAAGAAAGCGUAAUAGCUCACUGGUCUAGUGAUUUUGCGCGGAAAAUAUAACGGGGCUAAAGUAAGUACCGAAGCUGUAGACUUGCGCACAACUUAGAUUAUUUAAGUUUAGAAUAUGAGAAACUAAGUUAUAUGUUUAGUUAUAUUUUUACUGAUUUUUAUAGAGUAAAGAUAGAAAUAAAACUUAGUAAAAUCAGUAAAAAUAUUCUUAGACUAAAGUUAAGUAGUUUAAGUUGUGUGCAAGUGGUAGGAGAGCGUUCUAUUUGCGUCGAAGGUAUACCGGUAAGGAGUGCUGGAGCGAAUAGAAGUGAGCAUGCAGGCAUGAGUAGCGAUAAUUAAUGUGAGAAUCAUUAACGCCGUAAACCCAAGGUUUCCUACGCGAUGCUCGUCAUCGUAGGGUUAGUCGGGUCCUAAGUCGAGUCCGAAAGGGGUAGACGAUGGCAAAUUGGUUAAUAUUCCAAUACCAACAUUAGUGUGCGAUGGAAGGACGCUUAGGGCUAAGGGGGCUAGCGGAUGGAAGUGCUAGUCUAAGGUCGUAGGAGGUUAUACAGGCAAAUCCGUAUAACAAUACUCCGAGAACUGAAAGGCUUUUUGAAGUCUUCGGAUGGAUAGAAGAACCCCUGAUGCCAUCGAGCCAAGAAAAGUUUCUAAGUUUAGCUAAUGUUGCCCGUACCGUAAACCGACACAGGUGGGUGGGAUGAGUAUUCUAAGGCGCGUGGAAGAACUCUCUUUAAGGAACUCUGCAAAAUAGCACCGUAUCUUCGGUAUAAGGUGUGGUUCGCUUCGUAUUAGGAUUUACUCCGAAAGCGAAGAAACUUACAACAAAGAGUCCCUCCCGACUGUUUACCAAAAACACAGCACUCUGCUAACUCGUAAGAGGAUGUAUAGGGUGUGACGCCUGCCCGGUGCUCGAAGGUUAAUUGAUGGGGUUAGCAUUAGCGAAGCUCUUGAUCGAAGCCCGAGUAAACGGCGGCCGUAACUAUAACGGUCCUAAGGUAGCGAAAUUCCUUGUCGGUUAAAUACCGACCUGCAUGAAUGGCGUAACGAGAUGGGAGCUGUCUCAAAGAGGGAUCCAGUGAAAUUGUAGUGGAGGUGAAAAUUCC
RNAcentral lists this ribosomal RNA (1765 nucleotides) under Campylobacter coli. RNAcentral's name for it is "partial 23S ribosomal RNA". It matches the Rfam family "Bacterial large subunit ribosomal RNA", at positions 465 to 2063 of the family's 2925-position model. The record is from RNAcentral. Lineage: Bacteria; Pseudomonadati; Campylobacterota; Epsilonproteobacteria; Campylobacterales; Campylobacteraceae.